UUCAUGUGGAGACUGGAGCUUGGGACUCUCCGAUGGCGGACAUGUGAGGAGAUGAUCGGUUCUAGUAUCUAUCAGCAAACCUAGAAGGCUUUUAAUUACAUCCAUUAACACAGAGGGACCUUUCAAGACUGAAGAUAGAGUGUGCGCCCAGGCCAGUCAAUGAAAGAAAGAGGGCCUUCCACCUCCUCCUUGUUCCUCGGCAAGACGCAGCCAAACCAGGCUGAAAGAGAGGAUGAGGUAAAAAGAGACAGAGAGACCAAACCUGGAGACACACACGGAGAGAGAGGAUAACUUCCCCAAACACACGCACACCAACUCCAGCACGGUCCCCAUUCACUAACAGCAAGUGGAUGGGAAAGAACCUUGACAACACAAAACUCAUUUACUAAUGGACUGGUUUUGGAUUUCUCUCUUUCGGGUCCGCAUAUCGCCCCGCCUGAGCCCUCGGCCCAUCCAGAGCUCGCGGGGAGCAGCGUCCCCCAGGAGGCAGGUGGGAGGCUGCUCCGGCGCCGCGCCACCCUCGGAGCCCGGCAUCCGGAGGGGUCGAGGGCACCUGGAGUUUCCGAC
Bubalus bubalis (water buffalo) is the source of this 567-nucleotide long non-coding RNA. RefSeq lists it as uncharacterized. The record is from RefSeq and is a predicted model, not a curated record. Lineage: Eukaryota; Metazoa; Chordata; Mammalia; Artiodactyla; Bovidae. The transcript is spliced from 4 exons.